AACGAACGCUGGCGGCAUGCCUAACACAUGCAAGUCGAACGAGACCUUCGGGUCUAGUGGCGCACGGGUGCGUCACGCGUGGGACCCUGCCCUUAGGUUCGGAAUACCUCCCCGACAGGGGUGCUAAUACCGGAUAAUGUCUUCUGACCAAACAUUUAUCGCCUUUGGAUGGGCCCGCGUUGGAUUAGCUAGUUGGUAUGGUAAAAGCCUACCACGGCGACGCUACAUAGCUGGUCUGAGAGGAUGAUCAGCCACACUGGGACUGAGACACGGCCCAGACUCUUACGGGAGGCAGCAGUGGGGAAUAUUGGACAAUGGGCGAAAGCCUGAACCAGCAAUGCUGCGUGAGUGAUGAAGGCCUUAGGGUAGUAAAGCUCUUUUACCCGGGAUGAUAAUGACAGUACCGGGAGAAUAAGCUCCGGCUAACUCCGUG
Molecule: ribosomal RNA, 433 nt
Filed under: uncultured bacterium
Lineage: Bacteria
Description: partial 16S ribosomal RNA
Rfam family: Bacterial small subunit ribosomal RNA
Source: RNAcentral